This 1242-nucleotide ribosomal RNA is filed under the name metagenome. Its description in RNAcentral is "SSU rRNA". It matches the Rfam family "Eukaryotic small subunit ribosomal RNA", at positions 528 to 1789 of the family's 1831-position model. The record is from RNAcentral.
AAUCCUUUAACGAGGAUCUAUUGGAGGGCAAGUCUGGUGCCAGCAGCCGCGGUAAUUCCAGCUCCAAUAGCGUAUAUUAAAGUUGUUGUGGUUAAAAAGCUCGUAGUUGGAUCUCAGUUCGAGUCAGACGGUCCACUUGCCAGUGGCUACUGCCUGACUGAACACUUUACCGAGUUGUCCUAUGGUGUUCUUCACCGAGCGUCAUAGGCGAUCGGUACGUUUACUUUGAAAAAAUUAGAGUGCUCAAAGCAGGCGUAACGCCCGAAUAAUGUUGCAUGGAAUAAUGGAAUAGGACCUCGGUUCUAUUUUGUUGGUCUUCGGAAUCAGAGGUAAUGAUCAAUAGGGACAGACGGGGACAUUCGUAUUGCGGCGCUAGAGGUGAAAUUCUUGGACCGUCGCAAGACGAACUAAAGCGAAAGCAUUUGUCAAGAAUGUUUUCAUUAAUCAAGAACGAAAGUUAGAGGUUCGAAGGCUAUCAGAUACCGCCCUAGUUCUAACCAUAAACGAUGCCAACCAGUAAUUCGUCUGAGUUCCUUAAAUGACUCGACGAGGGACUUCCGGGAAACCAAAGUCUUUCGGUUCCAGGGGAAGUAUGGUUGCAAAGCUGAAACUUAAAGAAAUUGACGGAAGGGCACCACCAGGAGUGGAGCCUGCGGCUUAAUUUGACCCAACACGGGAAAACUCACCCGGCCCGGACACUGGAAGGAUUGACAGAUUGAGAGCUCUUUCUUGAUUCAGUGGGUGGUGGUGCAUGGCCGUUCUUAGUUGGUGGAGUGAUUUGUCUGGUUAAUUCCGAUAACGAACGAGACUCUAGCCUACUAAAUAGAUCGUCGGCUUACAAACGCCGGCGAGACUUCUUAGAGGGACAGGCGGUGAUUCAACCGCACGAAACAGAGCAAUAACAGGUCUGUGAUGCCCUUAGAUGUCCGGGGCCGCACGCGCGCUACACUGAAGUGAUCAGCGUGCUUUUUCAACCUACUCUGUCAAGAGUGGGGAACCCAAUGAACCUUCUUCGUGAUUGGGAUAGGGGAUUGUAAUUAUUCCCCUUGAACGAGGAAUUCCCAGUAAGCGCGAGUCAUAAGCCCGCGUUGAUUACGUCCCUGCCCUUUGUACACACCGCCCGUCGCUACUACCGAUUGAAUGUUUUAGUGAGGUCUUCGGACUGGCCGGCGCAGCACUCUCGUAGUGCAGCGCUGUGUUUGGAAAGAUGCCCAAACUUGAACAUUUAGAGGAAGUAAAAGU